GACGAACGCUGGCGGCGUGCUUAACACAUGCAAGUCGAACGGAAAGGCCCUGCUUUUGUGGGGUGCUCGAGUGGCGAACGGGUGAGUAACACGUGAGUAACCUGCCCUUGACUUUGGGAUAACUUCAGGAAACUGGGGCUAAUACCGGAUAGGAGCUCCUGCCGCAUGGUGGGGGUUGGAAAGUUUCGGCGGUUGGGGAUGGACUCGCGGCUUAUCAGCUUGUUGGUGGGGUAGUGGCUUACCAAGGCUUUGACGGGUAGCCGGCCUGAGAGGGUGACCGGCCACAUUGGGACUGAGAUACGGCCCAGACACCUACGGGAGGCAGCAGUGGGGAAUAUUGCACAAUGGGCGGAAGCCUGAUGCAGCAACGCCGCGUGCGGGAUGACGGCCUUCGGGUUGUAAACCGCUUUCGCCUGUGACGAAGCGUGAGUGACGGUAAUGGGUAAAGAAGCACCGGCUAACUACGU
This 467-nucleotide ribosomal RNA is filed under the name uncultured bacterium. RNAcentral's name for it is "partial 16S ribosomal RNA". It matches the Rfam family "Bacterial small subunit ribosomal RNA", at positions 28 to 506 of the family's 1533-position model. The record is from RNAcentral.